Molecule: ribosomal RNA, 449 nt
Filed under: uncultured bacterium
Lineage: Bacteria
Description: partial 16S ribosomal RNA
Rfam family: Bacterial small subunit ribosomal RNA
Source: RNAcentral
CUACCAGACUCCUACGGGAGGCAGCAGUGGGGAAUAUUGCACAAUGGGGGAAACCCUGAUGCAGCGACGCCGCGUGAGCGAUGAAGUAUUUCGGUAUGUAAAGCUCUAUCAGUAGGGAAGAAAAUGACGGUACCUGACUAAGAAGCCCCGGCUAACUACGUGCCAGCAGCCGCGGUAAUACGUAGGGGGCAAGCGUUAUCCGGAUUUACUGGGUGUAAAGGGGGCGCAGACGGCAGCGCAAGCCAGGAGUGAAAGCCCGGGGCCCGACCCCGGGACUGCUCUUGGAACUGCGUGGCUAGAGUGCAGGAGGGGCAGGCGGAAUUCCUGGUGUAGCGGUGAAAUGCGUAGAUAUCAGGAGGAACACCGGUGGCGAAGGCGGCCUGCUGGACUGCAACUGACGUUGAGGCCCGAAAGCGUGGGGAGCAAACAGGAUUAGAUACCCUAGUAGA